Molecule: ribosomal RNA, 1502 nt
Filed under: Epipyxis sp. PR26KG
Lineage: Eukaryota; Chrysophyceae; Chromulinales; Dinobryaceae
Description: bacterial LSU rRNA
Rfam family: Bacterial large subunit ribosomal RNA
Source: RNAcentral
UCGGCCCCUAAGGCGAGGCAGAAAUGCGUAGUCGAUGGGAAGCAUGUUAAUAUUCCUGCACCGACGUGUAAUGCGAUGGGGGGACGGAUCGUGGAAAGUGGUCCAGGUGUUGGAUAUCCUGGUCCCUGCAUCAUAGAGGACAGUUAGGCAAAUCCGGCUGUCAUAUACUCAAGGGUGUGGGGGGAAGUAGCUACGGCUACGAACCCAUUGGAAGUGGUCCCAAGAAAAGCCUCUAAGCUUCAGUUACACGUUGACCGUACCGCAAACCGACACAGGUGGGCGAGAUGAGUAUUCUAAGGCGCUUGAGAGAACUCAGGAGAAGGAACUCGGCAAAUUGGUACCGUAACUUCGGGAGAAGGUACGCCCUUGUAGCUUGACCAUGAACAAUGGAAGGGUGAAGGGGUUGCAAUAAAAUGGUGGCUGCGACUGUUUAAUAAAAACACAGCUCUCUGCAAACACGAAAGUGGACGUAUAGGGUGUGACGCCUGCCCGGUGCUGGAAGAUUAAAUGAUGGGGUGCAAGCUCUUGAUUGAAGUCCCAGUAAACGGCGGCCGUAACUAUAACGGUCCUAAGGUAGCGAAAUUCCUUGUCGGGUAAGUUCCGACCUGCACGAAUGGCGUAACGAUGGCCACACUGUCUCCUCCUGAGACUCAGCGAAGUUGAAAUGUUUGUGAUGAUGCAAUCUCCCCGCGGAAAGACGGAAAGACCCCAUGAACCUUUACUGUAGCUUUGUAUUGGACUUUGAACAGAUCUGUGUAGGAUAGGUGGGAGGCUUUGAAGCGGUGCCGCUAGGUAUCGUGGAGCCAACGUUGAAAUACCACCCUGGUGUGUUUGAGGUUCUAACCUAGGUCCAUUAUCUGGAUCGGGGACAGUGCAUGGUAGGCAGUUUGACUGGGGCGGUCUCCUCCCAAAGCGUAACGGAGGAGUUCGAAGGUACGCUAGUUACGGUCGGACAUCGUGACGAUAGUGCAAUGGCAUAAGCGUGCUUAACUGCGAGACUGACAAGUCGAGCAGAUGCGAAAGCAGGACAUAGUGAUCCGGUGGUUCUGUAUGGAAGGGCCAUCGCUCAACGGAUAAAAGGUACUCUGGGGAUAACAGGCUGAUACCGCCCAAGAGUUCAUAUCGACGGCGGUGUUUGGCACCUCGAUGUCGGCUCAUCGCAUCCUGGGGCGGUAGUACGUCCCAAGGGUUGGGCUGUUCGCCCAUUAAAGCGGUACGUGAGCUGGGUUCAGAACGUCGCGAGACAGUUCGGUCCAUAUCCGGCGUGGGCGUUAGAGUAUUGAGAGUGACCUUUCUCUAGUACGAGAGGACCGAGAAAGACAUACCGCUAGUGUACCAGUUAUCGUGCCAUCGGUAUAUGCUGGGUAGCUAUGUAUGGUUUGGAUAACCGCUGAAGGCAUCUAAGUGGGAAGCCGUCCUCAAGAUGAGUACUCUUAGGUUGCGGCAAGACUAGCCGUUUGAUAGGCAUCCGGUGUAAGUGUAGCAAUAUAUUUAGCCAAGAU